Leopardus geoffroyi (Geoffroy's cat) is the source of this 1078-nucleotide long non-coding RNA. RefSeq lists it as uncharacterized. The record is from RefSeq and is a predicted model, not a curated record. The transcript is spliced from 3 exons. NCBI's taxonomy places the organism in Eukaryota, Metazoa, Chordata, Mammalia, Carnivora, Felidae.
UCCACAUAGAUCAGCAGUUCUCAGGCGUUGCAGCAAUCCGGAGUCACCGUGGAGGACGACAAGAAGGAAGAUGCCCAUCAGAGACCAACUGAAUCAGAAUCUCCAGGGCUGAUUCUGAUGCACACCACAGAGGGUUCAUGAAGGCCAAGGAGACAUUGGGAUCUCCCCGGAAAGAGAGAAAGAACCGGAUGAAGUGAACAUUUCUGAAACACGUCCAGGAGACAGACUGUUCUCUGGGAGGCUACGAGCUGUCUUUCCUAGCAAAGAAGGGAAAAACGAUGAGUGCCCGGAAGUCAGAUCACUGGAUUAAAAGGUGUGACUAUGUCAAGACUCUUGUUGCAUGUGUUGUAAGCUAUUGUUAUAUCCCCUUUUUCCUGGAGUUGGGAACUGAAACGCAAAAGUUGAAAUAAUUUGUCCUAGUUCGCACAGCUAAUCCUCAACAAGUCCGGGACAAAACGCAGGGCAAGAGACUCCACGUUCUGUGGUCUGUGCUCAACACGGCCCAGGAGAGAAGGCUGCUACUGCCGACCGAGCAUCUGAUAAUUUGCACUAAAGAGGACAAACAGCCCCGUGGGGGAUCAAACAUAGAGCAAAGGCUGACGCACCUGGGCGCAGGACACCUGGGUUCUACUGGGGGCUCCCCCGCUAACUCCAUCACCCUGAGCAAAGCAAGUCCCUUGGGCCUCAACGUCAGCCUCCCGUCUGGAUCUAACACACUGCCCUUCUGUCCAGAUACCUCAUUACCAAAACAAAAACAGAAACAUUUUCGUUUUGAUUUUACAUAAAAAGACCAAAAGUAAUACAUUUGCUCCCACUCCAUGUAACUGCUCUGUUGGCCACAAAACGGAUCCGGCUGCAUCCCAAGGCCAGCAGGUUGGGGUUAAUGAGACAGUGAACUCCAGAAAACAUGCCCCAAGCCGGAAUCUGCCAGCGAGUGGCAGGAGAAUGCAGUCCUUUCAAGAUCAAGUCAGAUGGCCUGAAACACAGCUCAGCGCUGUAUCUCGGCACCAGGCUCCGCCAUCGGCACUGUAAAGACAUUCCCCUCAGUGGUUCCCUGGGACGGAGGGCAUCAGCACCA